Cercocebus atys (sooty mangabey) is the source of this 94-nucleotide unclassified non-coding RNA. It matches the Rfam family "Y RNA". Rfam says of the family: Y RNAs are components of the Ro ribonucleoprotein particle (Ro RNP), in association with Ro60 and La proteins. The record is from Ensembl. Lineage: Eukaryota; Metazoa; Chordata; Mammalia; Primates; Cercopithecidae.
GGCUGGUCCCAAGGUAGUGAAUUGUCUCAAUUGGUUAUUCACAGUUGGUUUCCCUUUGUGCACUCUUUCCCCACUUCCACUUGACUAGUCUUUU